GCCGGGCGUGGUGGCGCACGCCUGUAAUCCCAGCUACUCAGGAGGCUGAGGCAGGAGAAUCGUUUGAACCCAAGAGGUGGAGGUUGCAGUGAGCCGAGAUCGCACCACUGCACUCCAGCCUGGGUGACAGAGCAAGACUCUGUCUCAA
Molecule: non-coding RNA, 148 nt
Filed under: Pan paniscus (pygmy chimpanzee)
Lineage: Eukaryota; Metazoa; Chordata; Mammalia; Primates; Hominidae
Also listed under: 1 other name
Source: Rfam by way of RNAcentral